This 301-nucleotide ribosomal RNA is filed under the name uncultured bacterium. RNAcentral describes it as "partial 16S ribosomal RNA". It matches the Rfam family "Bacterial small subunit ribosomal RNA", at positions 509 to 807 of the family's 1533-position model. The record is from RNAcentral.
CAGUCGCCACGGGAAUACGGAGGGUGCAAGCGUUAAUCGGAAUUACUGGGCGUAAAGCGCACGCAGGCGGUCUGUCAAGUCAGAUGUGAAAUCCCCGGGCUUAACCUGGGAACUGCAUUUGAAACUGGCAGGCUAGAGUCUUGUAGAGGGGGGUAGAAUUCCAGGUGUAGCGGUGAAAUGCGUAGAGAUCUGGAGGAAUACCGGUGGCGAAGGCGGCCCCCUGGACAAAGACUGACGCUCAGGUGCGAAAGCGUGGGGAGCAAACAGGAUUAGAGACCCCUGUAGUCCCUGUCUCUUAUAC